This 497-nucleotide ribosomal RNA is filed under the name uncultured bacterium. RNAcentral's name for it is "partial 16S ribosomal RNA". It matches the Rfam family "Bacterial small subunit ribosomal RNA", at positions 28 to 507 of the family's 1533-position model. The record is from RNAcentral.
GAUGAUCGCUGGCGGCGUGCCUAAUACAUGCUUGUCGAGCGAACAGAUGAGGAGCUUUCUCCUCUGACGUUAGCGUCUGACGGGUGAGUAACACGUGGAUAACCUACCUAUAAUACUGUGAUAACUUCGGGAAACCUGAGCUAAUACCGGAUAAUAUAUUUAAUCGCAUGGUUCAAUAGUGAAAGACGGUUUUGCUGUCUCUUAUAUAUGGAUCCGCGCCGCAGUAGCUAGUUGGUAAGGUAACGGCUUACCAAGGCAACGAUGCGUAGCCGACCUGAGAGGGUGAACGGCAACACUGGAACAGAGACACGGUCCAGACUCCUACGGGAGGCAGCCAUAGGGAGUCUUCCGCAAUGGGCGAAAGCAUGACGGAGCAACGCAGCGUGAGUGAUGCAGGUCUUAGGAACGUAAACCUCUGUUAUUAGGGAAGAAAAAAUGUGUAAGUACGUAUGCACGUCUUGACGGUAACUAAUAGGAAAGCCAAGGGUAACUCCCAG